This 67-nucleotide transfer RNA is filed under the name Notomastus sp. GK-2021. Its description in RNAcentral is "tRNA-Lys". Lineage: Eukaryota; Metazoa; Annelida; Polychaeta; Capitellidae. The record is from RNAcentral.
UCUCUCGAAAGCUAAUUUAGCAAUGGGCUUUUAACCCACAGAUUGGUAUUUAUCUACCUCGAGAGAA